Mugil cephalus (flathead mullet) is the source of this 1281-nucleotide long non-coding RNA. RefSeq lists it as uncharacterized. NCBI's taxonomy places the organism in Eukaryota, Metazoa, Chordata, Actinopteri, Mugiliformes, Mugilidae. The transcript has 4 exons. The record is from RefSeq and is a predicted model, not a curated record.
GCAAGUCACACACGUCAUUGUUGACACAUACCACCUGACAACUGAAGCACAUAAAACAUUUGUCGUCUGUCAUCUCUUCAUUCUCCACCUGCUCAGCAGCAGCUCUCCUUCCAUUCACCCAGCAGAGUGUUUCAGUUGUGAUGGCAGCAUCAGUGUCACCCAGCAGCAGAGGACUGGCUACAGUCAGAACCUCCAAAGGCCUCUUCCUCAUCUUCUCUCUGCUCAGUCUGCUUCAUGUUGCAACUUCACAGACAAGUAACAUGGACAAACUGAAUGUGAUGAUGGAGCAGUUGUCACACUCGGAUACUUUUUCUUGGAAAUUGCUGGAAUUAAUGAAGGAGCUCUAUCAGGGAGCAGUAGAAGAUCUAGUUAGAGAUAAGGCAGCACAUGAGGAGAGAGUUGAAACUGUUUCUGAUGCAUUUGGUGAAGCCAUAGAUCAGUUCAAUUAUGUUUUGGAGCUGGUGGGGGAAGUGUCUGAUGGGUCUGAACUGAAGGAGAUGAUGCAGGAUUUCGUGGACAAAUCCAUAACUUACACAAACCAAAAGAUGGAGAGCUACACUGAACAACUACAUAACAAUGAAGAAAGACUGCGAGAAAUUCAUGAAACAAUAGAAUACUUGGAGAAGUCCAAAGAUGAGGAACUGUAAGUUCACAUCUCUGUCUCUGUUGAUCUGUGUAAAAUUCUGUGCAGCUUUAGUUUUUGUGAAUCCUGGUUUCCUCUCUGUUUUUAACAUGUGUCUGAGUGGUGUGAUAGGACACAAAACAUGUCAAUGCAUGCUCUUUGAUAUAUACACUUUUCUUGGCAUUUAACCUAGUUUUACUCCUGACUAGUGGUUACUCUUCUGUCAAUCAGUUAUUUAAUUAAACUGCUCUACAUGAGUAUAACCUGUUGUUUAUAUACAUAUAAAUAUAAAUAAACACAUAAAUGCAAUAUAUAAAAACUUUUUUUGUCUGAUACCUCAUUUCCUGACAGUCUUUAACAUUUGAGGUGUGUUAUUAUACCAGAGUUUAACGUUGUCAACACUAAGUAGAAGAAUGAAACAUGUUGUCUGUGAUUCAUAAGGUCUGUUGUAACAUUUGUGAUUUACUUAAACAUUUGUGUAAAGUGUAACUGCUACAUAGAAACGAAAAAAGCACAUCAAAUCAGGUAGAUACCAUCAUGUCCUCCAUGGUAUCCAAACAAUGCAGGACAGGAUGUGCUCACUCCCUCAGACAAACUAAUACAAGUGAGUCAUACAGAACGUGACACUAAGAAUAAAACGUUGACUGUUUCCUAAUUAU